GUGCUCACUUUGGCAGCACAUAUACUAAAAUUGGAAUGAUAUAGAGAAGAUUAGCAUGGCUCCUGUACAAGGAUGACACACAAAUUCAUGAAGCAUUCUAUGUUUUC
Molecule: small nuclear RNA, 107 nt
Filed under: Vombatus ursinus (common wombat)
Lineage: Eukaryota; Metazoa; Chordata; Mammalia; Diprotodontia; Vombatidae
Source: RNAcentral